Molecule: long non-coding RNA, 834 nt
Filed under: Medicago truncatula (barrel medic)
Lineage: Eukaryota; Viridiplantae; Streptophyta; Magnoliopsida; Fabales; Fabaceae
Description: long non-coding RNA (MTRU_LNC006458)
Source: RNAcentral
UUUGUUUCUUCUCCGGAGAACUGAACACCUUCCGGCACGGUGCCCGGUGGUGCACCACCGUGCCGGAGUUAUAAACUCCACUUUUUUUCAAAAAUCUUUACACCUUUAAAUAUCCUUUUCUCUCCUAAACCCAAAUCCGGUUUCACAAAUUCGAAAAAGGUUCAAAAUAAUCGUAGAUCUAGGUUUUAAAAUUCGAAAAUCAUUGAUGUUCUUCGAAAGUUGGCUCUGAUGUUUCGGAUUAUGCUCUGAUGUUCUUCGAAAGUUGGCUCGAUUCUGUUCCACUUUCUUUCGAUCUGUUCGGUUUGAUGGAUGAUUCAGCUGUUUGAUGGUGUUUUUGCGUAAUUGUUGUUCUUUCCUUCUUCCUCCCUUCAAAUUGGUUUUGCUUCCUCUUGAUUUUGCUCGUUUUGGAUCCAGUUUGUUUGUGAGUGGAGGUGGAGUUUCGGUUGGUAUGGAUUUGGGUUAUGGUUCGAACAAUAACAAACAGUGGUGGUUGUAGUUAUUAUUUUUGAACGGCUGGUGAUUGUUUGUGGAUGAAUUUCGAAAUUGUGGUUUUGAAUGAAUUUUAAAAAUUGUUGGUGUGUUCUUGAGGUUAUGUGAUGAACACUGGACGAUUUUGAUUAUUUUUGUUUGUUUGAUCCGAAGAUAUAUAGAAAAUUGAGAGAAUUUUUUUUAUUUUAUGCACAGUGGAGAUGCAGAUGGCAGAUUACCCGUGAUAGGGUAAUUGCUCUUCUGGGUUUUUGUUUAUAAAAUUCUUCUUCAUCUCAAUUCCUAUUCAGAUUAUGAAAAGCAACGUCUUCUUGUAUUCUUCAUGCAUUUUUGAAGGAAAGGAAAAUU